GGCAUGAACAAAAGAGGAGACCAUUCUCCUCUUGGGUGAGAGACCUAGUACUGUUUUAGAUUUUUGGGUGAGGAAAAAAUCAAAGAAAAGUGAGUCUUCAUUUAAAUUUUAUCCACCAUCUAGCAUCCUUCUCUGAUCUAUCUUCAACAUCAAAAAGGUUCGAGGUGAUCGAAGAAGGAGAUCAAGUCAGAUCUGCCAUCAG
This 202-nucleotide long non-coding RNA is filed under the name Elaeis guineensis (African oil palm). RNAcentral's name for it is "long non-coding RNA (EGUI_LNC075223)". The record is from RNAcentral. Lineage: Eukaryota; Viridiplantae; Streptophyta; Magnoliopsida; Arecales; Arecaceae.